This 497-nucleotide ribosomal RNA is filed under the name uncultured Lachnospiraceae bacterium. RNAcentral's name for it is "partial 16S ribosomal RNA". Lineage: Bacteria; Bacillati; Bacillota; Clostridia; Lachnospirales; Lachnospiraceae. The record is from RNAcentral.
CACGUAGUUAGCCGGGGCUUCUUGGUCAGGUACUGUCAUCUUCUUCCCUGCUGAUAGGGCUUUACAUACCGAAAUACUUCGUCACCCACGCGGCGUCGCUGCAUCAGGGUUUCCCCCAUUGUGCAAUAUUCCCCACUGCUGCCUCCCGUAGGAGUUUGGGCCGUGUCUCAGUCCCAAUGUGGCCGGUCACCCUCUCAGGUCGGCUACUGAUCGUCGGUUUGGUGGGCCGUUACCCCGCCAACUGCCUAAUCAGACGCGGGGCCAUCUCAUACCACCGGAGUUUUUCACACCCUGUGAUGCCACAGUGUGCGCUUAUGCGGCAUUAGCAGUCAUUUCUAACUGUUAUUCCCCUGUAUGAGGCAGGUUCCCCACGCGUUACUCACCCGUCCGCCGCUCAGUCAAUUACGCUUCCAUCCGAAAACUUCCGCAUAAGUGCUUCGCUCGACUUGCAUGUGUUAAGCACGCCGCCAGCGUUCAUCCUGAGCCAGGAUCAAACU